This 492-nucleotide ribosomal RNA is filed under the name uncultured bacterium. Its description in RNAcentral is "partial 16S ribosomal RNA". It matches the Rfam family "Bacterial small subunit ribosomal RNA", at positions 29 to 507 of the family's 1533-position model. The record is from RNAcentral.
AGUGAACGCUGGCGGUAGGCCUAACACAUGCAAGUCGAACGGCAGCACAGUAAGAGCUUGCUCUUACGGGUGGCGAGUGGUGGACGGGUGAGGAAUACAUCGGAGUCUACUUUUUCGAGGGGGCUAACGCAGGGAAACUUACGCCAUUCCCGCAUACGACCUAAGGGUGAAAGCAGGGGAUCUUCGGCUCUUGCGCGAUUGAAUGAGGCGAUGUCGGAUUAGCUAGUUGGCGGGGUAAAGGCCCACCAAGGCGACGAUCCGUAGCUGGUCUGAGAGGAUGAUCAGCCACACUGGAACUGAGACACGGUCCAGACUCCUACGGGAGGCAGCAGUGGGGAAUAUUGGACAAUGGGCGCAAGCCUGAUCCAGCCAUGCCGCGUGGGUGAAGAAGGCCUUCGGGUUGUAAAGCCCUUUUGUUUGGAAAGAAGAGCAGCAGGUUAAUACCCCGCUGUUCUGACGGUACCCAAAGAAUAAGCACCGGCUAACUUCGUG